GCGCUGUGCAACAACUUGCAAAGUAGCUAAAAUCUGACUACGAAUCAGUAGGUCGGGAGUUCGAAUCUCUCCGGGCGCACCA
RNAcentral lists this transfer RNA (82 nucleotides) under Terriglobia bacterium. Its description in RNAcentral is "tRNA-Ser". Lineage: Bacteria; Pseudomonadati; Acidobacteriota; Terriglobia. The record is from RNAcentral.